CUAUCAGCUUGUUGGUGGGGUAACGGCCUACCAAGGCGACGACGGGUAGCCGGCCUGAGAGGGCGACCGGCCACACUGGGACUGAGACACGGCCCAGACUCCUACGGGAGGCAGCAGUGGGGAAUAUUGCGCAAUGGGCGAAAGCCUGACGCAGCGACGCCGCGUGGGGGAUGAAGGCCUUCGGGUUGUAAACCCCUUUCAGCAGGGACGAAGCGAAAGUGACGGUACCUGCAGAAGAAGCGCCGGCUAACUACGUGCCAGCAGCCGCGGUAACACGUAGGGCGCAAGCGUUGUCCGGAAUUAUUGGGCGUAAAGAGCUCGUAGGCGGUCUGUUGCGUCCGCUGUGAAAACUCGGGGCUUAACCCCGAGCCUGCAGUGGAUACGGGCAGACUAGAGGUAGGUAGGGGAGAAUGGAAUUCCCGGUGUAGCGGUGAAAUGCGCAGAUAUCGGGAGGAACACCGGUGGCGAAGGCGGUUCUCUGGGCCUUACCUGACGCUGAGGAGCGAAAGCGUGGGGAGCGAACAGGAUUAGAUACCCUGGUAGUCCACGCCGUAAACGUUGGGCGCUAGGUGUGGGAUCCUUCCACGGAUUCCGUGCCGCAGCUAACGCAUUAAGCGCCCCGCCUGGGGAGUACGG
This 636-nucleotide ribosomal RNA is filed under the name uncultured bacterium. RNAcentral describes it as "bacterial SSU rRNA". It matches the Rfam family "Bacterial small subunit ribosomal RNA", at positions 238 to 885 of the family's 1533-position model. The record is from RNAcentral.